RNAcentral lists this ribosomal RNA (253 nucleotides) under uncultured bacterium. RNAcentral describes it as "partial 16S ribosomal RNA". It matches the Rfam family "Bacterial small subunit ribosomal RNA", at positions 524 to 776 of the family's 1533-position model. The record is from RNAcentral.
UACGGGGGGGGCAAGCGUUGUUCGGAAUUACUGGGCGUAAAGCGCACGUAGGCGGAUUGUUAAGUCAGGGGUGAAAUCCUGGAGCUCAACUCCAGAACUGCCUUUGAUACUGGCGAUCUCGAGUCCGGGAGAGGUGAGUGGAACUGCGAGUGUAGAGGUGAAAUUCGUAGAUAUUCGCAAGAACACCAGUGGCGAAGGCGGCUCACUGGCCCGGUACUGACGCUGAGGUGCGAAAGCGUGGGGAGCAAACAGG